CAGUUCGGAGUAUGCAGUGAAGUUGGCGGCUUGGUUGGUGCCUUGUCGGAGGGCCGUGAGGGAAACACCGCGGUAGAGAGCGCCGAAACCCUCUUCCCUGACAACGGUGAGGAGAGCGUGUGGCGCACUGCGGUAUUUGGGGGUGUCCAGAGGAUCAGCUAGGCUGUGUUGUUGUGCCUGGAGACGAAUCUUGAUCACUUCCAUGGGCGUGACGACUGCGACAGCUUCUGUGACCCCAGCGGCAAGACCAGCUAAAUUCAGAGAUAAAUUCAUGUUCGCGGAGCCAGAAAGCUUCCCAGUUUCUUUAUUAGUGAGCGCUUGUUUAUACCACCCAUACGAUGUGAAUCGAAUGGCCAUCUUCGGUACUAUUCCGCUCAAAACAGCACCGAGACCCUUGUAUAAACCGAGAGCUGUCUCCCUCCUUACGAUUUCCCGCCCAGUCGCAAUGAAUCCACGAGCUUUUACCUACACCCGUACUCCAUCAGUCUCAAAACCGCACUUGUGGUUUUCAGUAUAGAAGAACUCACCCCUGGUGCCCGCGCUCUUUUUGACAGUUGCAUUCGGACCUUAACAGUAUCUAAACCAUAAGAAAAUUGAGCCCGUGCCCAGCACACCCUAUAUUUUGGAGCUUUGACUCGGACCAAAAAAAAAAAAAAGAGGGGAAAAUCCCGUACCUAGAGGAUGGCACACGAGCGCUUCCAUCAUUCCAGCCGUACCACCCGCUAUACUCUUAGUCAGUCAUAGCAAUGCUCCAGGCUAGCAUUUGGAUAGAGGGGGUUAUCAAACUAACCAAUUAAAUUGGUGGCCACCGAGGUGGGCUUCUUCCCAUUUUGACUGUUUGCAUUCUUUUCAGACAUGUUACUAUGAUGUGAAGGAGUUUAGAGGGAGAGAAGGAGAAGAGAGGUCAAGCAGGAAUUGCGCCGGUUUCAAAGUCCGCGAACUGUUAUCUUCGAACCCUGUCGUUUCCAAUCUCAAUGUUUAGGCGAUACAAUUGACAAAAGGGAAAGGAGGGAAAAACGUAAUCCCAGGUGAAAGUCAAAAAUGAGAGAAGCCGAGGGAAGAUAUUUUUUAUUUUUAUUAUAUUUUGGAAUAGGCACAAUAAAGAUUUUUCAAGGAACAGGAGUUGUGCGGAAACAAGCACAUAAAAAUAUCGAGGACGGGAAUUUUUGGAAACGGAGAUCCAAUUGAUGGGGCCAAUAAUGAUGCAAUACAAGGGUAAGCCCUACUUUUUUUUUCUGUUUCAAUACUCCCGAAAGUAUCUUGUAUAGGGAAAAUACAUAGCCUUGAACAACCGGGAAGCGAGAGUAUUUCGCUGUGAGGGGCCCAUG
This 1328-nucleotide small RNA is filed under the name Histoplasma capsulatum. RNAcentral's name for it is "hypothetical RNA". The record is from RNAcentral. RNAcentral also lists the same sequence under 1 other name. Lineage: Eukaryota; Fungi; Ascomycota; Eurotiomycetes; Onygenales; Ajellomycetaceae.